GCCCGCAAGGGCAACCGGCGAACGGGUGCGUAACACGUGAGCAAUCUGCCGAUCUCUGGGGGAUAGCCGGCCCAACGGCCGGGUAAUACCGCAUACGCUCAUCGGGGGACAUCCCCUGGUGAGGAAACCUCCGGGGGAGAUCGAGGAGCUCGCGACCUAUCAGCUAGUUGGUGAGGUAACGGCUCACCAAGGCGACGACGGGUAGCUGGUCUGAGAGGAUGGCCAGCCACAUUGGGACUGCGACACGGCCCAGACUCCUACGGGAGGCAGCAGUGGGGAAUAUUGCGCAAUGGACGAAAGUCUGACGCAGCGACGCCGCGUGUGGGAUGAAGCUCUUCGGGGUGUAAACCACUGUUGCCAGGGAAGAAACUCUUGAUUCGUCAAGACUGACGGUACCUGGUGAGGAAGCACCGGCUAACUCUGUGCCAGCAGCCGCGGUAAUACAGAGGGUGCGAGCGUUGUCCGGAAUCACUGGGCGUAAAGGGCGCGUAGGUGGCGGGAUAAGUGUGUGGUGAAAGCUCGGGGCUCAACCCCGAGUCUGCCAUGCAGACUGUCUUGCUCGAGCGUAGUAGAGGCAGGUGGAAUUCCGGGUGUAGCGGUGGAAUGCGUAGAGAUCCGGAAGAACAUCGGUGGCGAAGGCGGCCUGCUGGGCUACUGCUGACACUGAGGCGCGACAGCGUGGGGAGCAAACAGGAUUAGAUACCCUGGUAGUCCACGCCGUAAACGAUGGUACUACGUGUCUGGGGGAACGACCCCCUGGGUGCCGGCGCUAACGCAUGAAGUACCCCGCCUGGGGAGUACGGCCGCAAGGCUGAAACUCAAAGGAAUUGACGGGGGCCCGCACAAGCGGUGGAGCAUGUGGUUUAAUUCGACGCACGCGAAGACCUUACCUGGGCUUGACAUGCUGGAGAAGCUCUCAGAAACGGGAGCUCCUCUUCGGAGUUCCAGCACAGAUGCUGCAUGGCU
Molecule: ribosomal RNA, 966 nt
Filed under: uncultured bacterium
Lineage: Bacteria
Description: bacterial SSU rRNA
Rfam family: Bacterial small subunit ribosomal RNA
Source: RNAcentral